CUGCAGUGAUGAGCUUCCACUUCGGUCCGUGUUUCUGAAUCCUGAUACCCAACAGAAGUUCUGAGUUU
Small nucleolar RNA from Esox lucius (northern pike), 68 nucleotides. Its record names the gene SNORD18. It matches the Rfam family "Small nucleolar RNA SNORD18". Rfam says of the family: U18 is a member of the C/D class of snoRNA which contain the C (UGAUGA) and D (CUGA) box motifs. It is encoded in introns of ribosomal protein L1 in Xenopus and human, and in introns of elongation factor 1 beta in yeast. Related snoRNAs in Arabidopsis and rice have been named R63 and Z106 respectively. Lineage: Eukaryota; Metazoa; Chordata; Actinopteri; Esociformes; Esocidae. The record is from Ensembl.